UCCCUGGUGUCCAGUGGUUAAGACUCUGCACUUUCGAGGCAGGGGGUGUGGGUUCGAUCUCUGCUCAGGGAA
RNAcentral lists this transfer RNA (72 nucleotides) under Bos taurus (domestic cattle). It matches the Rfam family "tRNA". From Rfam's summary of the family: Transfer RNA (tRNA) molecules are approximately 80 nucleotides in length. Their secondary structure includes four short double-helical elements and three loops (D, anti-codon, and T loops). Lineage: Eukaryota; Metazoa; Chordata; Mammalia; Artiodactyla; Bovidae. The record is from Rfam by way of RNAcentral. RNAcentral also lists the same sequence under 5 other names.